This 107-nucleotide transfer RNA is filed under the name Candidatus Woesearchaeota archaeon. Its description in RNAcentral is "tRNA-Phe". It matches the Rfam family "tRNA". Rfam says of the family: Transfer RNA (tRNA) molecules are approximately 80 nucleotides in length. Their secondary structure includes four short double-helical elements and three loops (D, anti-codon, and T loops). The record is from RNAcentral. Lineage: Archaea; Nanobdellati; Candidatus Woesearchaeota.
GGGAGUGUAACUCAGCGGGGCGGCAUGAGCCAGCAAUGGUUGAUUGCGCGCUACAGAGUGCGUCGCUGAAGACGACGAAGUCCUGGGUUCAAAUCCCAGCACUCCCA